RNAcentral lists this ribosomal RNA (253 nucleotides) under uncultured bacterium. RNAcentral describes it as "partial 16S ribosomal RNA". It matches the Rfam family "Bacterial small subunit ribosomal RNA", at positions 524 to 776 of the family's 1533-position model. The record is from RNAcentral.
UACGUAGGGUGCAGGCGUUAAUCGGAAUUACUGGGCGUAAAGCGUGCGCAGGCGGUUUGCUAAGAGAGAUGUGAAAUCCCCGGGCUUAACCUGGGAACUGCGUUUCUAACUGGCAGGCUUGAGUGUGGCAGAGGGGGGUGGAAUUCCACGUGUAGCAGUGAAAUGCGCAGAUAUCGGGAAGAACACCCGUGGCGAAGGCGGCUCUCUGGGACGGUACUGACGCUGAGACGCGAAAGCGUGGGGAGCGAACAGG